Molecule: transfer RNA, 65 nt
Filed under: Metaphycus eriococci
Lineage: Eukaryota; Metazoa; Arthropoda; Insecta; Hymenoptera; Encyrtidae
Description: tRNA-Gly
Source: RNAcentral
GUUUAUAUAGUAUAAUUAGUACAAUUAAUUUCCAAUUAUUAGGUUUAAUAAAAUUAAUAUAAAUA